GAUUCUCUCUUCUACCAGGCUGCAAGCAUCCUUCUCUAAGUUUCUCUUGGGGUGUUUUCUGGAGCCUUGCUGCUCAUGUGCCCUUUGCUCCAUACAACCCAUCCUCCACGCACACCCUGCGGCCAUCCCCACUCAAUUUCCUUGGAACCCCCUUUCUACUCCUCUUUCAUUCAUUUCUUCUUUUUUUUUUUCGAGACGGAGUGUCUCCCUGUCACCCAGGCUGGAGUGCAGUGGCUUGAUCUUGGCUCACUGCAACCUCCGCCUCCCGGGUUCAAGUGAUUCUGCUUUCUCAGCCUCCAGAGUAGCUGGGAUUACAGACACGUGCUACCAUACCCAGCUCAUUUUUGUAUUUUUAGUAGAGAUAGGUUUCACCAUGUUAGUCAGGCUGGUCUGGAACUCCUGACCUCAGGCGAUCUGCCCACAUCGGCCUCCGAAGUGCUGGGAUUACAGGUGUGAGCCUUCUACCCCUUUUUCACUUGUUACAUCUAAACCGAGCCCAGCCAUCCUCGUCCGGGUGGGAGCUGUCUGCUCCUGGCUGUCCUUUGCUGCCCUCAGGGUUCUCCCCACCCAUUCCCUCUUCAUUCCUUCUCCUCUUUCAGCAUCCACUAGUUCAUCUUUGCUCCCUCCACACUUCUUCCUCUCUUAUGGUCUUUGCCUUUUUCACAGGUUGGUCCCUGCCUGUCCCCUGGGCAGGUGUAUCCAGCCCUGUGAUAUUUCCCCUCUCACUCUGAACCUGCCUCCUCUGCUAUAGCCCACAUAUGGGUUGUUUAUAGAAAUGUCACUUUCCUCCACCCAAAGGUUACCCCAGCCUUCUAUUUUUAUUUUUCUACUGAAAGCACUGUUAUCGGCACUAUGCUUGAAAUAUCAUUCUCAACCACAGUGCUGAAUUCUGAUAGUUUCCCUUUUUGGGGGUUCAUUUGAAAAUAACAAAAAUGAGCCAGGCAUGGUGGCAUGUGCCUGUAGUCCCAGCUCCUGGGGGCUUGGGUUGAGGGGAUGGAGGCAGGAGGAUUGCUUGAGACGGUUCUAAGCCGCAGUGGGUUGUGAUCGCUCCUGGGAGACAGAGCGAGACCCUGUCUCUAAAAAGAAGAAAAAAAUGACAAAAUGAUUUAUUGUAAUUAUAAAAAUAAUAUAUGGUUACAAUAGAAAUUUGGUGACUAAAAUACUAACAGUUUGUUGUCUAAUAUUUCUUUUCUAUUGUUUAGAAGGUAUGAUUUUUAAAAAUUGUAAUCAUAUCUCAUACACAGUUGUCAAUUCUUCCAUUAUCUUUUUUUUAACUAUUAUUUUUUAUAGAGACGGGAUCUCCCUGUAUUGCUCAGGCUGGUCUCGAGCUCCUGGGCUCAAGUGAUCCUCCCACCUCAGCUGCCCAAAGUUCUGGAAUUACAAACAUGGAGCACUGUGCCCUGCCAAUUCUUCCAUUUUCACUCAGUAUAAAGACUCAUUCAUAAGGGAAGGAUGGAAUGAGGUCCUGGGGAUACAAUGCUCACUGCCUUCAUUGAGCUGAUGAUCUAGUGUCAGAAGUAAUUGGGCAGUUAUGAUAUUAUACGGAAAUUACAAAGUGCUAUAGCCCCAGAUCUAGUCUUGGGGUUGGGGGAGGUGAUCAGGGAAGGGUUCCCCUAGCCAAGCGAGGUCGGAGCUAAGAUCGGAAGAAUUAGCAGGAGUUUCCUAGGCAACAGGGAGGGACAGCUCUAGGCAGAGGGAACGGCACAUGUGCAUUGUAGAUGGGAGGAGGGCAAGGGAAAUUUUGAAGGUCGAAUCUAAAGAGGUGAUGUAAGCUAGUUUGUUGAGUUUGUACGUAUCAUAAGAGCAAGGGAAACUUCUUUUGAGGCAUUGUGAUUUGCCAAUCAGACAACAGCUCUAGCUACAGUAAUAGAGCAUGAAUCAACUCUUUUUUUUUGUCUCCUAAAAUCCUUAAGUUGGUGUACCCAGAAUUUACUUAAUCAUUUCCCUGAUGUUGCUAAUAUUUCACAGUUAUAGAUAAUGUACUAAUCAUAGUUCUCUGUGGCUCUCCUCUGUAUAAACUAAAAUCAUUUUGGGAUGCUAAUCGGGUAGCAUUUUUUUUUUGUUUUCUGGAGGCACGAUCUCAACCUGUUGCCCGGGCUGGAGUGCAGUGGCAUGAUCAUGGUUCAGUGCAGCCUCAACCUCCUGGGCUCAAGCAAUCCUCCCGCUCAGCCUCCCAAGUAGCUGGGACUACAAGCAUGUGCCACCACACCUAGCUAAUUUUUUUUUUUUGUAGAGACGGGGUCCCACUGUGUUGCCCAGGCUGAUCUGAAACCCGUGGGUUCAAGUAGUCCUCCCGGCUUGGCCUCCCGAAAUACUGGGAUUAUAGGCAUGAGCCACUGUGCCCAGCCUGAAUGCCUCUUCUAUGUAAUGAACCAUAUCUUGUCUUUGCUCCAAUUCUAAUUCCUGUUUCUUGCCUCCAAUCUAGUCCCAAACUGAUCUAUUUCGCUGGGCUUCUUAGGAAUUGCAUGGAAAUACCAGGCCCCAGCUGGACAUGACUGACAUUUAUCUACUCACAUCCACCACCAAACUUCCACUGGAGCACAUGGAAUGGCGUGAGAAACACCUAGACAGUGCAUUUCACACCAGGAAGAGAAGCUCUGGGGACUGGAUGGCAUGUGUUUCUGCAAGGAGUCGGGAGCCUUGGUGGGAGACACUAUGGUGAGAAACGGAGAGUGCACACACUUACUGAAAACGUACUGAGAACUCACACCAAGCGUUUUCAAACCCUUCCUCUUUCUCUCAGCCCUUUUUUUAGUUAUCCCAGCUCAGCUGUUAAUUACCAUCAGUGAGUGUAGAAGAGGAAGGAAGCAAAUACCACCCUUCUUAAGCAGCUGGGCUAUUUUAGGGCAGACGUGAUGGAUCCUCAAUUAGAAAUUUGUACUAAACAUUCAAUUCACCCUCACACCAGUAUCAUACAUCACAAAUUGCAUUUCUCCAGUUUGGUUGUCAAGGAGCCAAAACGUGUG
RNAcentral lists this long non-coding RNA (2966 nucleotides) under Homo sapiens (human). RNAcentral describes it as "non-protein coding lnc-MTPAP-8:1". The record is from RNAcentral. Lineage: Eukaryota; Metazoa; Chordata; Mammalia; Primates; Hominidae.